UUUCCUUCGGGACUGAUUAUUUUGUGACUGAGUGGCGGACGGGUGAGUAACGCGUGGGUAACCUGCCUUGUACAGGGGGAUAACAGUUGGAAACGGCUGCUAAUACCGCAUAAGCGCACAGCAUCGCAUGAUGCAGUGUGAAAAACUCCGGUGGUAUAAGAUGGACCCGCGUUGGAUUAGCUAGUUGGUGAGGUAACGGCCCACCAAGGCGACGAUCCAUAGCCGGCCUGAGAGGGUGAACGGCCACACUGGAACUGAGACACGGUCCAGACUCC
This 275-nucleotide ribosomal RNA is filed under the name uncultured Eubacteriales bacterium. RNAcentral's name for it is "uncultured Clostridiales bacterium partial 16S ribosomal RNA". It matches the Rfam family "Bacterial small subunit ribosomal RNA", at positions 74 to 339 of the family's 1533-position model. The record is from RNAcentral. Lineage: Bacteria; Bacillati; Bacillota; Clostridia; Eubacteriales.